GAUGAACGCUGGCGGCGUGCCUAAUACAUGCAAGCCGAGCGAACGGACGAGAAGCUUGCUUCUCUGAUGUUAGCGGCGGACGGGUGAGUAACACGUGGAUAACCUACCUAUAAGACUGGGAUAACUUCGGGAAACCGGAGCUUAUACCGGAUGAUAUUUUGAACCGCAUGGUUCAAAAGUGAAAGACGGUCUUGCUGUCACUUAUAGAUGGAUCCGCGCUGCAUUAGCUAGUUGGUAAGGUAACGGCUUACCAAGGCAACGAUGCAUAGCCGACCUGAGAGGGUGAUCGGCCACACUGGAACUGAGACACGGUCCAGACUCCUACGGGAGGCAGCAGUAGGGAAUCUUCCGCAAUGGGCGAAAGCCUGACGGAGCAACGCCGCGUGAGUGAUGAAGGUCUUCGGAUCGUAAAACUCUGUUAUUAGGGAAGAACAUAUGUGUAAGUAACUGUGCACAUCUUGACGGUACCUAAUCAGAAAGCCACGGCUAACUACGUG
Molecule: ribosomal RNA, 497 nt
Filed under: uncultured bacterium
Lineage: Bacteria
Description: partial 16S ribosomal RNA
Rfam family: Bacterial small subunit ribosomal RNA
Source: RNAcentral